CUUUCUUAUUCUUGCCUCCCUCAGCUUUGGUCUUGGCAAUGAAAUUACGGCAACCUCAGGGAGGAAACAUGAGGACCUUCUGGUCCUUUCUGACCCAGAGCCAGGUCAAUCCUUGAGGAGAUUAUAAGGAUUUCAUUAACUACAAUAAAGAGAGAAGUACUGGCAAAAUCACAAUGGCAAAACUUGUAGGCUGUGCAAGAUCUUCCACAUCUCCCUACGCUGUUUGUUUUAACCAUUUUGUCAUCUGCUUCACCUUAACCCUUGCUAUAGCUGCCCCAAGCUAGGCUGCAUCUAUAUUUGGAGUGAAUCCAGGUAGUUAAGAAGAUUGAGAUAAAUUUAAGGACUCGUGAAUUCUCUCUGUUAUUGUUGAGGUCUUUUUAAAAGCAAUGCAUUCUCUAAAUGUGUCCAAGCAGUUGGUACAAUGGUCUUCAAACUGAGGUAUGUGAACUUUCACAAACACUUUUCAAGAAAUGUGGAAACAAGGGCAGUUUUCAGGGAAUCUUUUGCUGGAUCCUCAAUUUCCACAAGUACUCUUUUUCUAAAAUGAUCUGCCUGAAAAUUCCCCUUGGCCUCUUUUCUCAUCUCCCCUACCCUCAUCACACUUUCCCACUUGUUAAAAUGGAAUACCUUUCAACAAUUUGAAAUCUUACUUCAUUGACUUACUUCAGUGAUUUGCUUUGGGGGCGUUUACAAACUUCUAGGGCAAGACACAGUUCAAAAAUGUUGGUGUUGGGGUUAAAGAGAGUGAAUGAUAGUGACUGGAUUACAAAUUCUUUUGUAGGUCAGAUGGUUUCCAAUUCUUUGCUUUCAACAAAAUUGAUGGAUGACCUAAUAAAAUUGUCAGCUUAGAUUUAUUAAAAAUUAAUGUUGAUGAUAAAUUACUAUAUGGGUUUUAGUUUAUAAUUCAGAAGGAGUUCAAAGAUUUGAGUGACACUGCUAUAAUCAAAUACCUUCCAUUCCCAUCUACUUGUGUAAACAAGUUUUCUCAGGGAUCAUUGUACGUAAAACAAAAAAUAUGAAUAAAAUUGAUGCUGAAGACUGUCUUAUUCCAGCCAUAUGUAAUAUUCACCUAUGAAUACAUCAACUAAAUAGGGGGAAAACAGUCUACCCAUCAAACUAAUAGAAGCAUCUCCAAAAUAAUUCAUUAUACCUAAAAAGUAUUUAUGCUAAUGCAAUUGUGAAGGAAUUUUAACACUUAGAACCUUAAGGUCACAGGAAAUAAAAAAAUAAAAUUUCAACCUACAUACAUAUUUUCCAGGGAAGUAUGAUAGGGUGAUUAAAACAAAGACUUCCAAGCAUAAAAUACGUUGCAUUUGAAUAAAAUUCUGUGGAGGAAGUGGGAUGGAAACAUGAGUUCAAGGAGAAAAUGUAAAAAUUUUAACUGCUAAAGAAGAGCUUGUUCAUAUAUUUAGAUUUUUAUUGGAUAUGGGUUUUUAAGCUGAAUUGUGUACAUUUUAAAGUGAUAUAAAAGAUAUGUUUGGAAACGUCAGUAUUACAAUACACUUUUCAAAUGUCUUUUUGUGACUGGUUAAACUUACAACAAAAAACUCGAGAUAUCAACCUAAAAACAUGUGAAACGAUACCUAAUUUUUCAAAAUUCUUUUAGAACAUACAACCAAAAUAAAAAAAAAAAGGUCUAAAGACCGCUGUUCUAGGGCAGUGGUUCUCGGCUCUGAUGUAUUUAGGAAUCCCCUGGGAAUCUUGUAGAAGCUGCAGAUUUCCUGGCUCAUCCCCUAGAGAUCCCUUCUCUGUGGAUCUGGAGAAGGUGGGUUUUAACAAGCGCUCCCUGGUAACUCUGAUGUGUGAUCUGUGGACCGGCGUUUGAGAAAAACUGCUUCAAGGUUUCUUCUAAGACCACAAUGCAUCAGCAGAAAGCUGCUUACUUGAAUCAUCUUUUUUCUGGGCCAUCUGUAGAAGUGCUUCUUCUGAGUCAUAUUUUGUGUCACCUCUUCACCUUUUCCUUGGGAUACCCUGAGGAAAUUUUAUGAAGGCUUCCUGUAUUUGUAAAGAAAAUUAUCCAAGACAUCAUUCCAUCACCAACUCUCUUCAGCCACCACCACUGCCCACAGAAAGCUUGGAGGUACUACAGCCAUUUUGCAACAAUGAAGUAGAAGGCCAAGAGAAUUAUGAAGAAACUAACCCGGCACCCAGACAUGGUAGAACUGCUGAAACAGCCUUUGAAUCACCCACCUCCAGACUUAUUGCUAUAUGAGAAAAUUAAAUGUCAUUGUUUAAGCCACUGCUAGCUGGAUUUUCUCUUACUUGCAGCUUAAUGCAUUCUCCCUGGAAUAUUGUAUGAAGGCAGGGCCAAUGGUGUGCCAGGGCUAACUCACACUGGCCUGUGAGACAACUGGACGUAUCUCUU
Equus caballus (horse) is the source of this 2365-nucleotide long non-coding RNA. NCBI's taxonomy places the organism in Eukaryota, Metazoa, Chordata, Mammalia, Perissodactyla, Equidae. The record is from Ensembl.